Non-coding RNA from Omnitrophica bacterium GWA2_50_21, 46 nucleotides. NCBI's taxonomy places the organism in Bacteria, Pseudomonadati, Candidatus Omnitrophota. The record is from Rfam.
CACGCGGCUUUUUUCAAAGCCAUGUCUUUGUUUCAGAAUGGAGAUU